Molecule: ribosomal RNA, 192 nt
Filed under: uncultured bacterium
Lineage: Bacteria
Description: partial 16S ribosomal RNA
Rfam family: Bacterial small subunit ribosomal RNA
Source: RNAcentral
CUCCUACGGGAGGCAGCAGUAAGGAAUAUUGGUCAAUGGACGAAAGUCUGAACCAGCCAUGCCGCGUGAAGGAUGAAGGCCCUCUGGGUUGUAAACUUCUUUUAUCUGGGCGAAAAAAGGGAAUUCUUUCCCACUUGACGGUACCAGAGGAAUAAGCACCGGCUAACUCCGUGCCAGCAGCCGCGGUAAUAC